CAAAUUCUUAGCUAUAUAAAACUACAAAACAGUGGUCAAGCUGAAAAUAAAAAUAAAUGUCCCCUUUACUAUUCAAGGCUAAAGCAAAACACUAAGCCUGAUAUGGAUCCUUUGAGAUCUGCUCAUCUCUGAUUGUACAGGGGUGUGUGUCUAUCUGUGUGAGAG
Molecule: long non-coding RNA, 165 nt
Organism: Perognathus longimembris pacificus (Pacific pocket mouse)
Lineage: Eukaryota; Metazoa; Chordata; Mammalia; Rodentia; Heteromyidae
Exons: 2
Source: RefSeq, a predicted model, not a curated record